AACGAACGCUGGCGGCAGGCCUAACACAUGCAAGUCGAACGCCGUAGCAAUACGGAGUGGCAGACGGGUGAGUAACACGUGGGAACGUACCCUUCGGUUCGGGAUAACUCAGGGAAACUUGAGCUAAUACCGGAUACGUCCGAGAGGAGAAAGAUUUAUUGCCGAGGGAUCGGCCCGCGUCUGAUUAGCUUGUUGGUGAGGUAACGGCUCACCAAGCCUUCGAUCAGUAACUGGUGUGAGAGCACGACCAGUCACACGGGCACUGAGACACGGGCCCGACUCCUACGGGAGGCAGCAGUAAGGAAUAUUGGUCAAUGGACGCAAGUCUGAACCAGCCAUGCCGCGUGGAGGAUGAAGGUCCUCUGAUUGUAAACUUCUUUUUAUUUGGGAAGAAAUGUAGAAAAUUUCUUUUCACUUGACGGUACCAGAUGAAUAAGCACCGGCUAACUCCGUGCCAGCCGCCGCCGUAAU
This 471-nucleotide ribosomal RNA is filed under the name uncultured bacterium. RNAcentral's name for it is "bacterial SSU rRNA". It matches the Rfam family "Bacterial small subunit ribosomal RNA", at positions 29 to 524 of the family's 1533-position model. The record is from RNAcentral.